AUGAGCAUCCUCUUGUGUGAACAGUGUAAUUGUUUCCUGAUUGGAAACAUAGAGAGGGGAAAAAAGACAAAUGAUUUGCGUGUUUCCUGUUGUAACAGCGGAGUGAAGGUAACUUAUACAGGGAUGAAAAGAGACCAUAUUUCAUGCUUGUUGCUAAACAAAUAGCUGCAGAACAGUGGGUUGUCAUGCUAAGCGAAACAGACGCUGACAAAAAGCUGCCUCUGUCUCAAAGGUUUGAGAGAUUCCUUUGUAGAUGCAAACACAGAAAGUGGUAACCUAGGAGAUAUUCUCUUUCUGCCCAUUUGUUCUCAGUCUGAAACUUAAGUUGUUGACCCUGUGCAUUAAUGUUUUGAUUUAUAGAAAAUAACGUCAUCAUGCAGUGCUUCGGUAUUUGCAGGAUUUUGACUUUGUUGGAGAAACUGUUGAGGGAGGGGACUGUUCUGAGCUAAUUAAAAAUAUACACAUUACAAAUGCAGCUUAUGGGGCAGCUCUCCACCUGCUGGCUGUUCCUGUUCUUCCCUGCAAUGUUCAUUCAUUAACCAUUAUUGAAGUUAUUCCAUGUAUUUUAGUGCACUAUAGCUGCUGCCCUGUGCUACUGCUGUACCGCCAGUAGCAUGGUGCAAUCUUUCCUGGUUCUGUAUUCAUUUUAUGCUAUCAGAAGGAGUAAAACCAAGGGGAAACAAGUCCAAGUCCUACUAGGGGAAAAAAAGGAAGAGUUUUCUGGUAGGUUGGGUGUCUGAAGGAGUUCACUGCAGGCAGGGCAGCACUGACUCUGGCACAAGAGCAGUGUGGGGAGAGGGAGCAUAGGGCUGCUGUACACCUGAAUCCCACAGUUAGAGCUCUGCAUUUUAUGUAAGGUGAAGAGUGCACUUGGGAUCGGGUAUGCUCUCAGGUGUGUACCCUGUCUAUGCAGCUGUGGCUGUGUGGUGUGCUAAAAGCAUCAGGUAGAGGUCCUCUUCUCCUCCCUAAACUCAUGGCAGAACCCAUCUUUGGUCCAGUGUGACCAUAGCAACCUCCAAGGCACCAUGAAGCAACAUGGCUAAGGCAGAACCCUUGAUUUGUACCAGCAGAUCAGCAUUGG
RNAcentral lists this long non-coding RNA (1081 nucleotides) under Coturnix japonica (Japanese quail). RNAcentral describes it as "lncRNA (ENSCJPG00005016245.1)". The record is from RNAcentral. Lineage: Eukaryota; Metazoa; Chordata; Aves; Galliformes; Phasianidae.